RNAcentral lists this non-coding RNA (1638 nucleotides) under Cryptosporidium parvum. The record is from RNAcentral. Lineage: Eukaryota; Apicomplexa; Conoidasida; Eucoccidiorida; Cryptosporidiidae.
AUAAAUUUAAAUAUUAAAAUACGAAAAUAAAAUAAUUUAUACCAAAUAAAUAGUUUAACUUUUUUCUUCUAUUAUAAUAUAUAUUAUCUUUAAGAAAAAUAUAAAGCCAGUAUUGAAAAGAAAUAUUCAAGUGGUUUUUGGCUAGAAAUUCUUUAUUCAAGCAUACAUAGAUAAGAAUAUAUACAAGAUAAAUAUUACAACUUUGCAACAAAAUAAUGUCAGGAAAAAUUAGACAAGGAUUUGAGUGGUCAUUAGUACUAAUUCUCUUAUUGGCUGUUUUUAUCUCAUAUGACCAAUACUUUUUUGCAGCUUCAGUAGGAUUGGGUGUUGCAGUUUUUGUAUUGAUAACAGAUUACUUAUUUUUAGAUUCAAAUCAAUUUAUAUUUGAUCCAUUUUACAAUAAUUGGAUACAAAGAGUGAAUAACUAAUAGUAAUAAUGGAAAAAAUAAAUGAAGAGGCAGAGGAGGGGAGGAGUAAAAAAAAAAAAAAGGUUAUAAGUCUUUAUAGUAAGAAUUUUACUCAUUAUUUUUCGAAAGAAAUAAUACGAUACAAUUAUAUAUACAUUAUCAUUUUUAUAAUAGUAGGUGUUUAAAGCAAUCUAAAAGUAAUAAUUCUUUUUUUCCUAUUAAUAAUUUUCUUAUGAUAUUACGUGUUAUUUUGCAUGCAUGCAUGUAAAGUGGAGCCUACAAAUGCUAAAUCUGAGUAGAUUAUUAAAAAAAUUGCCAGUAUUACUAAUAUUUAUUGCAGUUUUCUUUACUUUUCUUCCAUUCUUGUUAUUCUAUAUUUUGAUCGUUUCUUGAGUCUUGGAUAAUCUGAUAUUGAUAUUGGCAAUGUAACUCCCAUGGAGAAGGAGAUUUAUAACCUAAUUUAGGAAGAAUCACUGCUUGUAUUGAAUUUAAUUCUGCAUCCAUAAACAUUGAAGUUAGACACUUUUUUGUAUUAACUAAAACAUUGAAAAAAUGGCCAGCAAUUAAUUUAUUUCUAAGAAAAUCAUCCAACCUGUAUCUUCCUUGUAUUCCUGGCAUAAGUAAAUCGUUCAUCAUGCAAGAAAUAUUAUUCAAUUCUGGAAUAAAAUAAUUUAAAUCGUUACAUCUGCUCUUCUGUUCUCUAAAAAAAUAGUCAAUCUCACUAAAACUUAUCCAUCCGUCACAAUCAAAGUCAAUAAUCUCAAACCAAUACCUAAUACUUCUUUCUGUCGUCUUAUCUUCAUCACUAAUGUAAAAAUAAAUAAAAUCAUGAUAGCUCAUCCUUCUAUUUCUGUUCAAUUCAUCCUCAAAUAACUCUUUUUUCUCACAUAUAUUACAUUCCCAUAUUCUUGUCAAGGCGUUCAUAGUUAAUGAUCCAGAAUCAUGCUUCUUAAAAUCAUCCAAUGUUAAAUAACGAUCUUCAUCACUAUCUAACUCAACAAAACGGCUAUACAAAACAUAAAAGUGUUGGUAAUUAAAGUAAUUUAUUAAAUCAUCAAAUGAUUCAUUACCUUUCAUAUUUAUUAAUAUAUCUACCAAAUCAGUAUUUUUAAAAUCUUUAAAUCUUAAUUUUCGUAUUUCUAAUAUAUCCAAUUCAUAAUAUAUUCUGGAGAUUAUUGUCUCAAUAUACAGUUCUUUAAAUAUUUCGUCUUUUACUAAAAACUUCAAUGCU